Molecule: transfer RNA, 90 nt
Filed under: Candidatus Krumholzibacteriia bacterium
Lineage: Bacteria; Candidatus Krumholzibacteriota; Candidatus Krumholzibacteriia
Also listed under: 1 other name
Description: tRNA-Ser
Rfam family: tRNA
About the family: Transfer RNA (tRNA) molecules are approximately 80 nucleotides in length. Their secondary structure includes four short double-helical elements and three loops (D, anti-codon, and T loops).
Source: RNAcentral
GGAGAGAUGCGAGAGUGGCUGAAUCGGCACGACUGGAAAUCGUGUGAGCGCGAAAGCGUUCCGAGGGUUCGAAUCCCUCUCUCUCCGCCA